UAAAAGAUAAGCUAAAUUAAGCUAUUGGGUUCAUACCUCAUUUAUAGAAAUAAAAAUUUUCUUCUUUUAA
Molecule: transfer RNA, 70 nt
Filed under: Eoscarta assimilis
Lineage: Eukaryota; Metazoa; Arthropoda; Insecta; Hemiptera; Cercopidae
Description: tRNA-Met
Source: RNAcentral